AGGAAGGUAGUGUAGUUAACACCUGCAUUAUUGUACGUUACCUACAGAAAGAAGACGACCGGACUAACCUCCGUCGCCAGCACGCCGACGGUAAGUACGGGAGGGGUGCGAGCGUUAAGUACGGUAAUUACGUGGGACGUAAAGCGCAUGCAGGCGGCCUGUUAAGUCAGAUGUAGAAACGGCCCGGGGACCUUUAACCGUACGGUAAUUGCUAUUUAGUAAACGUGGCGAGGCUAGAGUCUUGUAGGAGGGGGGUAGGAAUUUCAGGUGUAGCGGUGAAAUGCGUAGAGAUCUGAAGGAAUACCAGUGGCGAAGGCGGCCCCCUGGACAAAGACUGACGCUCAGAUGCGAAAGCGUGGGGAGCAAACAGGAUUAGAUACCCUGGUAG
Molecule: ribosomal RNA, 388 nt
Filed under: uncultured bacterium
Lineage: Bacteria
Description: bacterial SSU rRNA
Rfam family: Bacterial small subunit ribosomal RNA
Source: RNAcentral